RNAcentral lists this ribosomal RNA (253 nucleotides) under uncultured bacterium. Its description in RNAcentral is "partial 16S ribosomal RNA". It matches the Rfam family "Bacterial small subunit ribosomal RNA", at positions 524 to 776 of the family's 1533-position model. The record is from RNAcentral.
UACGUAGGGUGCGAGCGUUGUCCGGAAUUAUUGGGCGUAAAGGGCUCGUAGGCGGUUUGUCGCGUCGGGAGUGAAAACCAGGUGCUUAACACCUGGCUUGCUUUCGAUACGGGCAGACUAGAGGUAUUCAGGGGAGAACGGAAUUCCUGGUGUAGCGGUGAAAUGCGCAGAUAUCAGGAGGAACACCGGUGGCGAAGGCGGUUCUCUGGGAAUGACCUGACGCUGAGGAGCGAAAGUGUGGGGAUCAAACAGG